UGAAUUUUGAUAAAUAUAUGACUACAUGAAAUAUAUUGAAUUUACCUAAACAUAACCAUAUAUUAGUCGGUAAUCGAAGGAAAUCUCACAUAUCCUCAGUAAAAGAAAGGUCACAUAUACAAAUUGGCUUUCUAUAACAACAUACAUAACAAUUUAGAUAGUAAAUAUAACUAAUCAUCACAGAUAACAUGCAAUAAGAAAUAGAUUGUAUACAUGGUGCAUAAAUGAAAUCUUCACAUGCCUAUACCAAAUGGGCACCAUGUUCGAAAACAAAGAAUUAUGUCAGCCCAAUGCACCUGGCCAUUUCUUGUGGAGGGCAUCACAUUCAUACGACGGUCCUAACAAGGAUUAAAUUAGCUGCAAUAUCAAAUAGAGAUAUACUAAAUACUACCAUGCGAGCAGGAUAUGUGGUAAUCACAUUUCUCUUUUUUGUUUAGUUGUAUUGUUAAAGAGCAACCAUGCUGAAAUCUAUAUGUAAGGAAGUGGCAGACCGGCGAUUUCAUUUUAUACAUGAAAAGGCUUAUCAAAACAAACUAGCAUGGAAAAUGGUGUCGCUACACUUGCACAAAUUAAAUAAUUCCCAAAUUGAAAUGUCAACCAAUCACCAACCACCUGUGUUGCAUACAGAAAACAAAAAUUUCCCAGUCAGGUCAUGCUAAUUGAUAUAUCAAGUAACAUCAUGUAAAGAUGAAAUACAAAGAGUAUUACAACAAAAGUGACUACUGAAAUAAAUGCAAGAUAUGCGCAAGAUGCAGUACGCCUAGCAUGUAUCCAGUGCGUCCUACUUGAGCUGCUCAAGCUAGAUAUCAUUACUUAGUUAUGCAUUAGUACUAAAAUAAAUUUCAUCAAAGAUUCAAUCAAAUUUUAUUGCAUGAGUAUCCACAUACAUAAAACUUGUUCAUCUGUGGAAACAUAUCAUCCGUUCAUCUAGCAACAAUCAAGUUAUUGCAAGUUUGAAUAAAAAAAUCUUGGAGAUUAUGUAAUGCUUACUCUCAAACUUUUUGUUUAUACAGUAGUGAUAUUCUUUGUUUCACUAUUUAUCUUUGGAUUCUUAUCUAAUGACCCAGGACGGAAUCCUGGACGCGAGGAGUAAAAAUUCCAUUUUUUGUUCUUAUUGGAUUUGUUUCGUACAUUUAUCUAUGAGAAAAUCCGGGGGUCAGAAUUCUUUCCAAUUCGAAAGUCCCAAAUGAUCCAAGGGAGCGGAAAGAGAGGGAUUCGAAACCUCGGUACAAAAAAAUUAUACAACGGAUUAGCAAUCCACCGCUUUAGUCCACUCAGCCAUCUCCCCACGUUCCAAAAAAAUUGUACAACCCAAAAAAUGAUGUCCUAAAUUUAAACCCAGCUAGAGUGAUUAGGUUUUCUUAUCUCUAAGAAUUAUAUACUAAGGUUAAGCGUUCUAAAGAAAGACAUUACAGGAAUUUGUACCCAACAUUGCUUUCUGCUUAUUUUUUUGCAUACCUUGGAAGUCGGAACUGUAAUAAGAAAAAUAAGUACUUAUUACCUCCAGGUAAAGAAAAUGGAAUAGAUCUUUGUGUUCUUGAGACCAGCUUGUAAGGUUCAAUCAUAUUCGCCACAUGGUGUCAGUGCCAUCACAAGGUAAAAUUAGAUAUUAAGUCUGUACUCACGUACUAAUGAAUUAGAGAGCAAAAAUAUCAUACCUAAUUUAUAAUCUUCAUGUAAUACUACUGCAACUCAUAACUGAAAAAGGAC
RNAcentral lists this long non-coding RNA (1710 nucleotides) under Triticum aestivum (bread wheat). RNAcentral describes it as "long non-coding RNA (TAES_LNC003261)". The record is from RNAcentral. Lineage: Eukaryota; Viridiplantae; Streptophyta; Magnoliopsida; Poales; Poaceae.